Ruditapes philippinarum (Manila clam) is the source of this 947-nucleotide long non-coding RNA. RefSeq lists it as uncharacterized. The record is from RefSeq and is a predicted model, not a curated record. NCBI's taxonomy places the organism in Eukaryota, Metazoa, Mollusca, Bivalvia, Venerida, Veneridae. The transcript is spliced from 4 exons.
UUUAUACUUAUUGUUGAUACUCUAGUUGGUCAUUAUUCAUGUAUUAAAUCAUACUGAUAUUUACAAUUUCUUCUGUAUUUUUCUUGUAGGAGAUCUGAUGGUUCAUCGGAAAAUGGUGUAGUGUGUGUGUGUGUGUUGAUCUGACGGGACAAUUAUUUCAUUAUAUAUACUAGAUGAUAUUUUCCAUCAUGUUAUCAAGACGAGAGACAAGGCAGUAAGAAUUGCAAUGUUUUUAGUUGCUCAGCAUUGUGAAAGACGAGGCAAGUGCAGAACAGAGAUCUGACCAUGGUUAUUGAAGUGAAUGUAAUAUGUUAGCAUGGAAAAGCUGUGAAUUUAUUCGAUUCUCUUAAGAAAGACAAGUUUAUUAUGACUGAUGCUUGCUGAACAAGUUGUUAAAUAUUUGACAGAGGAUCGCCAUGUGAAUUGAUAAUGUGACAUUAAAAAUUGUAUAUAUAUGGCAACUGAUUGAUACAGAGUUGUGUGCUGGGCAGUGCCGUGUGGGGGACGGGUAGAGGAGCAUGUUUCUUGAAGUGUUGCAAAAAUUGCUAAAAAGAACCAAUUAAGACAUUGUUUAUGAUUGGUAAAGACCAUCAACUGGAGCAGUUUUUAUAAAUGAUUAAUUAAAUAUUCAUUAUUUUAUUACAUUCUUGACAUUAGAUCACCCUCUUUGUGUCAAAUUAUGUUCUACCACAGGGCAGCAGUAUCAUAAGCAAAAUGGGGCCAAUACAAAAAUGAAACAUUUUGAUGGAUUGAGAAAAUGGGCUGAGUGUAAAAAGUUUGAAAUGUUAGGUGUUUUUAAACACAUUUUUAAAAAUUCAUCAUUUUUGCAUUGUAAUUUUAAGUUUAUUUGAAACAUAAGUAUUGUUUUUAUUCCCUUAAUGAUUUAACCAGAGGUGACUUGGGUAUACCCUCUGUCCUUCUGCAUGUUCAUCUGUCCACCAAACUGG